CCUACGGGAGGCAGCAGUGAGGAAUAUUGGUCAAUGGCCGGGAGGCUGAACCAGCCAAGUCGCGUGAGGGAAGACGGCCCUACGGGUUGUAAACUUCUUUUGUCAGGGAGCAAGGUGCAGGUCGGGACCCUCUGUGAGAGUACCUGAAGAAAAAGCAUCGGCUAACUCCGUGCCAGCAGCCGCGGUAAUACGGAGGAUGCGAGCGUUAUCCGGAUUUAUUGGGUUUAAAGGGUGCGCAGGCGGAGGCACAAGUCAGCGGUAAAAUCGCGGGGCUCAACCCCGCUCCGCCGUUGAAACUGUGUGCCUUGAGUGCGCGAAGGGUAGGCGGAAUGCGUGGUGUAGCGGUGAAAUGCUUAGAUAUUGCGAAGAACUCCGAUUGCGAAGGCAGCAUACCGGCGGCGAUCUGACGCUGAGGCACGAAAGCGUGGGUAUCGAACAGGAUUAGAUACCCGAGUAGUC
This 459-nucleotide ribosomal RNA is filed under the name uncultured bacterium. RNAcentral describes it as "partial 16S ribosomal RNA". It matches the Rfam family "Bacterial small subunit ribosomal RNA", at positions 338 to 795 of the family's 1533-position model. The record is from RNAcentral.